UUAGGCCCAGCACGAUCAAAAGCUUAUUUAUUCUCACACAUACGACGACACACGUUUUCCUUCAAAAAUACGAUCACCCUCUUUUCUCAUUUCUUUUUUAUACUUUAACUUAAUGUUUCCUCUGUUCAGAAUAUUGAAAAAUAUGCUACUGCUUUUCUCCGUUUCUCCGUCAACAAUCACCAGCUAAGUUUGCUUUCUCCAUAAACGGUCACCGGUCGGUUUGUACUCUCACCGAUCUGUUUCAAUCACGGACCAAAACCCAUCUCCGAUUCCCGCACCUAUAUGUCAUACAGCGAGGAGUUUCACUUAGUCUUGAGUAAUAAAUUCAACAUCAAUAAAAAAUGGGACUCAUUUGAUGUAUUGAGGAGGCAAUAUAUGCAUGCUAUCUGUUUGAUAAAAGUCCUCAAUUGAUUUUUUAAAAAUUAAAAAAAAUUGAAAGGAAUUAAGAUGCAGGAUAUGAGAAAUUGACUGUUGUUCAGGAGGCCACUCUUCCCCUUAUACUAAAAGAUACAAGUCAGGACGCAGAUGCCAUGAUUUCCUGCUCAUUAUCUCUAGUUCUUAUCACAUUUGAUGGCGGCAAUGGUGGAGGCGGAGAUGGGUUGUCAUCCAUAGCCCACGAUUUCUAAGCCUCCCUCCUCGACGCCGGAUCCAGUUCUUAUCACAUUUUAUGGCGGCGAUUGGUGUUUUAUAAGGUCUAUUUUAUUAUAUUUUAACUAUAUUUGAUUCAAUUGAUAAAUCUGGUUAUCAUUUUUUAUUUAUAAAUAUUCAUAGUUUACUAAUAGUUCACUUUUAGUUAACAUUUUUAUGAUAAAUCUGUAAUAAUUUGUAGUGAUUUGUCAUGUCAAAAAGAUACACGGUAAACACUUGAUGAACCUACGAUAAAAUAAUUAAUUGAAAAGAUUAAGAUGUAUUUAUUGUUUAUUAACAAUAAACUGUGAUUUUCUUGCUUUA
This is a long non-coding RNA of Mercurialis annua (annual mercury), 951 nucleotides long. RefSeq lists it as uncharacterized. NCBI's taxonomy places the organism in Eukaryota, Viridiplantae, Streptophyta, Magnoliopsida, Malpighiales, Euphorbiaceae. The record is from RefSeq and is a predicted model, not a curated record. The transcript is spliced from 3 exons.